Molecule: long non-coding RNA, 631 nt
Filed under: Daucus carota (carrot)
Lineage: Eukaryota; Viridiplantae; Streptophyta; Magnoliopsida; Apiales; Apiaceae
Description: long non-coding RNA (DCAR_LNC006912)
Source: RNAcentral
UUCUUGAUAAAUACCAAAUCUUUGUCUUGAUAAUCUUCAUCCUCUGCCUCUGCAAGAAUGACAGUAGAUGACAAAAUUGAUGGUGAAAAAGAGCAGUUCCCUGUGGGCAUGAGAGUUCUUGCUGUUGAUGAUGACCCCACUUGUCUUAGACUCUUGGAUACUUUGCUCAGGCGCUGCCAGUACAAUGGUUUCUUUCUGGGUUUUCAUCUUUCAAAUUAAAGCUCAAAGCUUUCUGCUUUCAACUUUAUUUAUUAUUUUUUUCCAGAUUUUACUUGUUCUUCCUGGAUAUUUAAUUGCUCUUGCUUCUUCUUUUUUCCUGCCAAUCUGUUUGAGAAUUUACUUCUAGGAUUCCACCAAGAGAAUUUGAUUUGGAUGAUACUAUGAUUGUUUUCAGUUCAGUGAGUUAUGAUAAUCUGUACAACUUCAAAAUAAAUUGUGCUUUUUUGUGAGCUUUCUGUUUGCUGUUCUACUAAUAUGCAACUUGAGUUCAUCACAAAUGCAUGCUUCAGAUGUUUAUAUGUUGUAGACCGGUAUUGAUUUAGUUACUUUAUGUUUGUCACAAUGUGGAUUUGUUUGUUUUUAUGUUCUGGUUUCCCUUUCGUGGCUUUAGUAAAGUUUAUCGCUUUAGGUA